AGAGUUUGAUCCUGGCUCAGGAUGAACGCUAGCGGCAGGCUUAAUACAUGCAAGUCGUGGGGCAGCAUGAGUAGCAAUACUUGAUGGCGACCGGCAAACGGGUGCGGAACACGUACACAACCUUCCGAUAAGUGGGGAAUAGCCCAGAGAAAUUUGGAUUAAUACCCCGUAACAUAUAGAGUAGGCAUCUUCUUUAUAUUAUAGCUUCGGCGCUUAUUGAUGGGUGUGCGUCUGAUUAGGUAGUUGGCGGGGUAACGGCCCACCAAGCCUACGAUCAGUAGCUGAUGUGAGAGCAUGAUCAGCCACACGGGCACUGAGACACGGGCCCGACUCCUACGGGAGGCAGCAGUAAGGAAUAUUGGACAAUGGGCGAAAGCCUGAUCCAGCCAUGCCGCGUGAAGGAUUAAGGUCCUCUGGAUUGUAAACUUCUUUUAUUUGGGACGAAAAAAGGGAGUUCUUUCCCACUUGACGGUACCAAGUGAAUAAGCACCGGCUAACUCCGUGCCAGCAGCCGCGGUAAUACGGAGGGUGCAAGCGUUAUCCGGAUUCACUGGGUUUAAAGGGUGCGUAGGCGGGUAUGUAAGUCAGUGGUGAAAUCUCGGAGCUUAACUCCGAAACUGCCAUUGAUACUAUAUAUCUUGAAUAUUGUGGAGGUUUGCGGAAUAUGUCAUGUAGCGGUGAAAUGCUUAGAUAUGACAUAGAACACCUAUUGCGAAGGCAGCAGGCUACACAUAUAUUGACGCUGAGGCACGAAAGCGUGGGGAUCAAACAGGAUUAGAUACCCCGGUAGUCC
RNAcentral lists this ribosomal RNA (793 nucleotides) under uncultured bacterium. RNAcentral describes it as "bacterial SSU rRNA". It matches the Rfam family "Bacterial small subunit ribosomal RNA", at positions 8 to 796 of the family's 1533-position model. The record is from RNAcentral.